UGUAGAACUGCUGGAUCAUAUAGUAACAGUACACUUAGCUGUUUGAGGAACUGACAGACAAUUUUCAAAAGCAACUGCACCAUUUUCCACUCCACUAGCACU
Molecule: microRNA precursor, 102 nt
Filed under: Marmota monax (woodchuck)
Lineage: Eukaryota; Metazoa; Chordata; Mammalia; Rodentia; Sciuridae
Source: RNAcentral